AGCGCACACGGUGGAUGCCUAGGCGGUCAGAGGCGAUGAAGGACGUGGUAGCCUGCGAAAAGUGUCGGGGAGCUGGCAACAAGCUUUGAUCCGGCAAUAUCCGAAUGGGGAAACCCACUGCUUCGGCAGUAUCCUGCAGUGAAUUCAUAGCUGCUGGAAGCGAACCCGGUGAACUGAAAUAUCUAAGUAACCGGAGGAAAAGAAAUCAACCGAGAUUCCCUAAGUAGUGACGAGCGAACGGGGAGCAGCCCUUAAGCUGGAAUGGCUUUAGAAAAACAAUCUGGAAAGAUUGGCCAUAGAAGGUGAUAGCCCUGUAUUUAAAAGGGCCACUCCAGUGAAGACGAGUAGGGCGGGGCACGUGAAACCCUGUCUGAAUAUGGGGGGACCAUCCUCCAAGGCUAAAUACUCCUGACCGACCGAUAGUGAACCAGUACCGUGAGGGAAAGGCGAAAAGAACCCCGGAGAGGGGAGUGAAAUAGAUCCUGAAACCGUGUGCGUACAAGCAGUAGGAGCUCGCAAGAGUGACUGCGUACCUUUUGUAUAAUGGGUCAGCGACUUACUGUUCGUGGCAAGCUUAACCGUAUAGGGGAGGCGAAGGGAAACCGAGUCUGAUAAGGGCGCAUAGUCGCGGGCAGUAGACCCGAAACCGGGUGAUCUAGUCAUGGCCAGGGUGAAGGUGCCGUAACAGGUACUGGAGGCCCGAACCCACGUCUGUUGCAAAAGACGGGGAUGAGCUGUGAUUAGGAGUGAAAAGCUAAUCGAACCCGGAGAUAGCUGGUUCUCCUCGAAAGCUAUUUAGGUAGCGCCUCGGACGAAUACUACUGGGGGUAGAGCACUGUUAUGGCUAGGGGGUCAUCGCGACUUACCAAACCAUUGCAAACUCCGAAUACCAGUACGUACUAUCCGGGAGACACACGGCGGGUGCUAACGUCCGUCGUGAAAAGGGAAACAACCCAGACCCACAGCUAAGGUCCCAAAUUCACUGCUAAGUGGAAAACGAUGUGGAAAGGCAUAGACAGCCAGGAGGUUGGCUUAGAAGCAGCCACCCUUUAAAGAAAGCGUAAUAGCUCACUGGUCGAGUCGGUCUGCGCGGAAGAUUUAACGGGGCUAAGCAGUGAACCGAAGCUUGGGGUGCAUAAAACUUGUUUUAUGCGCGGUAGAGGAGCGUUCCGUAAGCCUGCGAAGGUGGAUUGAGAAGUCUGCUGGAGGUAUCGGAAGUGCGAAUGCUGACAUGAGUAACGAUAAUGCGGGUGAAAAGCCCGCACGCCGAAAGCCCAAGGUUUCCUUGCGCAACGUUAAUCGACGCAGGGUUAGUCGGUCCCUAAGGCGAGGGCGAAAGCCGUAGUCGAUGGGAAGCAGGUUAAUAUUCCUGCACCUCGCGUGAGUGCGAUGGAGGGACGGAGAAGGUUAGGUGUACCGGGCGUUGGUUGUCCCGGGGAAAGGCGGUAGGUUUGGAUCUUUGGCAAAUCCGGGGUCCUUUAAGACCGAGCACCGAGACGAGCCUUUAUGGCGAAGUCACUGAUACCACGCUUCCAGGAAAAGCUCCUAAGCUUCAGCUCACGAAGACCGUACCGUAAACCGACACAGGUGGGUAGGAUGAGAAUUCUCAGGCGCUUGAGAGAACUCGGGUGAAGGAACUAGGCAACAUGGCACCGUAACUUCGGGAGAAGGUGCACCCUUUUUGGUGGCUCAUGCGAGCUAUAGCUGAAGAGGGUCGCAGAAACCAGGCCGCUGCGACUGUUUAUCAAAAACACAGCACUCUGCAAACACGAAAGUGGACGUAUAGGGUGUGACGCCUGCCCGGUGCUGGAAGGUUAAUUGAUGGGGUCAGCCGCAAGGCGAAGCUCUUGAUCGAAGCCCCAGUAAACGGCGGCCGUAACUAUAACGGUCCUAAGGUAGCGAAAUUCCUUGUCGGGUAAGUUCCGACCUGCACGAAUGGCGUAACGACAGCGGCGCUGUCUCCACCCGAGACUCAGUGAAAUUGAAAUCGCUGUGAAGAUGCAGCGUUCCCGUGGCAAGACGGAAAGACCCCGUGAACCUUUACUAUAGCUUUACACUGAACGUUGAGUUCGUCUGUGUAGGAUAGGUGGGAGGCUAUGAAACUGUGGCGCUAGCUGCAGUGGAGCCAUCCUUGAAAUACCACCCUGUCGUGCUUGACGUUCUAACCUAGAUCCGUUAUCCGGAUCAGGGACCGUGUAUGGUGGGUAGUUUGACUGGGGCGGUCUCCUCCUAAAGAGUAACGGAGGAGCACGAAGGUACGCUCAGCGCGGUCGGACAUCGCGCACUGUGUGCAAAGGCAUAAGCGUGCUUGACUGCAAGAUCGACGGAUCAAGCAGGUACGAAAGUAGGUCUUAGUGAUCCGGUGGUUCUGUAUGGAAGGGCCAUCGCUCAACGGAUAAAAGGUACUCCGGGGAUAACAGGCUGAUACCGCCCAAGAGUUCAUAUCGACGGCGGUGUUUGGCACCUCGAUGUCGGCUCAUCACAUCCUGGGGCUGUAGUCGGUCCCAAGGGUAUGGCUGUUCGCCAUUUAAAGUGGUACGCGAGCUGGGUUCAGAACGUCGUGAGACAGUUCGGUCCCUAUCUGCCAUGGGCGUUGGAAGUUUGAGAGGGGCUGCUCCUAGUACGAGAGGACCGGAGUGGACGAACCUCUGGUGUUCCGGUUGUCACGCCAGUGGCAUUGCCGGGUAGCUAUGUUCGGAAGCGAUAACCGCUGAAAGCAUCUAAGCGGGAAGCGCGCCUCAAGAUGAGACUUCCCGGGGCACAAGCCCCCUAAAGGAACCAUAUAGACUAUGUGGUUGA
RNAcentral lists this ribosomal RNA (2799 nucleotides) under Xanthomonas arboricola pv. juglandis str. NCPPB 1447. RNAcentral's name for it is "bacterial LSU rRNA". It matches the Rfam family "Bacterial large subunit ribosomal RNA". The record is from RNAcentral. Lineage: Bacteria; Pseudomonadati; Pseudomonadota; Gammaproteobacteria; Lysobacterales; Lysobacteraceae.